RNAcentral lists this ribosomal RNA (110 nucleotides) under Vorticella convallaria. Its description in RNAcentral is "5.8S ribosomal RNA". It matches the Rfam family "5.8S ribosomal RNA", at positions 35 to 152 of the family's 154-position model. From Rfam's summary of the family: 5.8S ribosomal RNA (5.8S rRNA) is a component of the large subunit of the eukaryotic ribosome. It is transcribed by RNA polymerase I as part of the 45S precursor that also contains 18S and 28S rRNA. Functionally, it is thought that 5.8S rRNA may be involved in ribosome translocation. The record is from RNAcentral. Lineage: Eukaryota; Ciliophora; Oligohymenophorea; Sessilida; Vorticellidae. RNAcentral also lists the same sequence under 14 other names.
GAUGAAGAACGCAGCGAAAUGCGAUACGCAAUGCGAAUUGCAGAACCGCGAGUCAUCAGAUCUUUGAACGCAAGUGGCGAUAGCUAUGGCUAUCAUGUUUGCUUCAGUGU